RNAcentral lists this ribosomal RNA (253 nucleotides) under uncultured bacterium. RNAcentral describes it as "partial 16S ribosomal RNA". It matches the Rfam family "Bacterial small subunit ribosomal RNA", at positions 524 to 776 of the family's 1533-position model. The record is from RNAcentral.
UACGUAGGUGGCAAGCGUUGUCCGGAUUUACUGGGCGUAAAGAGCGCGCAGGCGGUCGUUCAAGUCGCGUGUGAAAGCCCCCGGCUCAACUGGGGAGGGUCACGCGAUACUGAUCGACUCGAAGGCAGGAGAGGGUAGUGGAAUUCCCGGUGUAGAGGUGAAAUUCGUAGAUAUCGGGAGGAACACCGGUGGCGAAGGCGGCGACCUGGGUAGAUACUGACGCUGAGGUGCGAAAGCGUGGGGAGCAAACAGG